GACGAACGCUGGCGGCGUGCUUAACACAUGCAAGUCGAACGGAAAGGCCCUGCUUGCAGGGUACUCGAGUGGCGAACGGGUGAGUAACACGUGGGUGAUCUGCCCUGCACUUCGGGAUAAGCCUGGGAAACUGGGUCUAAUACCGGAUAGGAGCCAUUUUUAGUGUGAUGGUUGGAAAGUUUUUUCGGUGUAGGAUGAGCUCGCGGCCUAUCAGCUUGUUGGUGGGGUAAUGGCCUACCAAGGCGGCGACGGGUAGCCGGCCUGAGAGGGUGGACGGCCACAGUGGGACUGAGAUACGGCCCAGACUCCUACGGGAGGCAGCAGUGGGGAAUAUUGCACAAUGGGCGCAAGCCUGAUGCAGCGACGCCGCGGGGGGGAUGACGGCCUUCGGGUUGUAAACGCCUUUCGCUAGGGACGAAGCUUUUUGUGACGGUACCUAGAUAAGAAGCACCGGCUAACUACGUG
Molecule: ribosomal RNA, 465 nt
Filed under: uncultured bacterium
Lineage: Bacteria
Description: partial 16S ribosomal RNA
Rfam family: Bacterial small subunit ribosomal RNA
Source: RNAcentral